AGCGAACGCUGGCGGCGGGCCUAACACAUGCAAGUCGAACGAAGUCUUCGGACUUAGUGGCGGACGGGUGAGUAACACGUGGGAACGUACCUUUUGGUUCGGAAUAACUGAGGGAAACUUCAGCUAAUACCGGAUAAGCUCUUCGGAGGAAAGAUUUAUCGCCAUUAGAGCGGCCCGCGUUGGAUUAGGUAGUUGGUGUGGUAAAGGCGCACCAAGCCUACGAUCCAUAGCUGGUCUGAGAGGAUGAUCAGCCACACUGGGACCGAGACACGGCCCAGACUCCUACGGGAGGCAGCAGUGGGGAAUCUUGCGCAAUGGUCGAAAGACUGACGCAGCCAUGCCGCGUGAAUGAUGAAGGUCUUAGGAUUGUAAAAUUCUUUUAGCAGGGACGAUAAUGACGGUACCUGCAGAAAAAGCCCCGGCUAACUUCGUGCCAGCAGCCGCGGUAA
RNAcentral lists this ribosomal RNA (449 nucleotides) under uncultured bacterium. Its description in RNAcentral is "partial 16S ribosomal RNA". It matches the Rfam family "Bacterial small subunit ribosomal RNA", at positions 29 to 523 of the family's 1533-position model. The record is from RNAcentral.